AGGUCUAACAAACAAGACUGGUUUUUUUUUAACCACGGAAAAAUCUGCAGGGGACAACAAAUGUGUGUGCUGAAACAGUAAAUACGGCCGCACUAAGACGUUUAAGGACCUACUCUGAGCUAAAAGAGUCUGAGAUACAGGAGAUCAUACAAAAAAUAAGUUCCAGCUCUCCAAGAGAAGUAGCAGGGCAUAUAUUGUCUUCUCCAUUGAGAGGAAGUAUCAUUGUUGAACUUUUAAAUGAAAUUGAAUAUGCAGCAAAAGAAUGCUGCAACAAGGACAGUGUUUUGGCCCAAAAGGAUUUCUGUGACCUGGCUGAAUUUAAAUGGCAUGAACUCAUUGAUGAAUUAUUAGAGCAACAGCCAUUGCUAGCUGAUGUUCUCUUGGCUGUGUCUCUACCAACUUCUAAGAUAGGGAAUACAAAAUCUGUUCAGAGCCUUAUACCGGUCAUAUCUACUGUGUUUGGAAUGUUGAUGAAAACACGAUACCAGGAGUUGUCGUUAGUUCAAAAGAUGAUCGCAAUGACUUUAGCUAAUGAACAAACAAGCCAAAAAGUACAAUUUGUUUCA
Dreissena polymorpha is the source of this 566-nucleotide long non-coding RNA. RefSeq lists it as uncharacterized. Lineage: Eukaryota; Metazoa; Mollusca; Bivalvia; Myida; Dreissenidae. The record is from RefSeq and is a predicted model, not a curated record. The transcript has 3 exons.